AGGACGAACGCUGGCGGCGUGCCUAAUACAUGCAAGUCGAACGGUCUUUCUAUGGAAGCUUGCUCCACUGAAAAGAUAGUGGCGAACGGGUGAGUAACACGUGGGUAACCUGCCCAUAAGAGGGGGGAUAACAUCCGGAAACGGGUGCUAAUACCGCAUAGUUUUCUUGAUCGCAUGAUCGGGAAAGGAAAGACGGCCUUUGUGCUGUCGCUUAUGGAUGGACCCGCGGCGUAUUAGUUAGUUGGUGAGGUAACGGCUCACCAAGACGAUGAUACGUAGCCGACCUGAGAGGGUGAUCGGCCACAUUGGGACUGAGACACGGCCCAAACUCCUACGGGAGGCAGCAGUAGGGAAUCUUCCGCAAUGGACGAAAGUCUGACGGAGCAACGCCGCGUGAGUGAAAGAAGGUUUUCGGAUCGUAAAACUCUGUUGUCAGAGAAGAACAAGUUGGAGAGUAACUGCUCCAGCCUUGACGGUAUCUGACCAGAAAGCCACGGCUAACUACGUGCCAGCCGCCGC
Molecule: ribosomal RNA, 519 nt
Filed under: uncultured bacterium
Lineage: Bacteria
Description: bacterial SSU rRNA
Rfam family: Bacterial small subunit ribosomal RNA
Source: RNAcentral